GACGAACGCUGGCGGCGUGCCUAAUACAUGCAAGUUGAGCGAUGAAGAUUGGUGCUUGCACCCAUUUGAAGAGCAGCGAACGGGUGAGUAACGCGUGGGGAAUCUGCCUUUGAGCGGGGGACAACAUUUGGAAACGAAUGCUAAUACCGCAUAACAACUUUAAACAUAAGUUUUAAGUUUGAAAGAUGCAAUUGCAUCACUCAAAGAUGAUCCCGCGUUGUAUUAGCUAGUUGGUGAGGUAAAGGCUCACCAAGGCGAUGAUACAUAGCCGACCUGAGAGGGUGAACGGCCACAUUGGGACUGAGACACGGCCCAAACUCCUACGGGAGGCAGCAGUAGGGAAUCUUCGGCAAUGGACGAAAGUCUGACCGAGCAACGCCGCGGGAGUGAAGAAGGUUUUCGGAUCGUAAAACUCUGUUGGUAGAGAAGAACGUUGGUGAGAGUGGAAAGCUCAUCAAGUGACGGUAACUACCCAGAAAGGGACGGCUAACUACGUG
This 497-nucleotide ribosomal RNA is filed under the name uncultured bacterium. Its description in RNAcentral is "partial 16S ribosomal RNA". It matches the Rfam family "Bacterial small subunit ribosomal RNA", at positions 28 to 507 of the family's 1533-position model. The record is from RNAcentral.